ACAGUUACUCUAUUAUAUACUGCAGCUGUCCUAUUUGAGCAGUCAAAUUGCAUUGACUGUAUAUUCAUAUGUGAUAUACAGUCACUGACCGUAUAUCACCUUGUUUAUGACGUUGACAAUGCGUUUCCGUAGAGUUUUAUUUAUGACGUCAAUAAAACAUACAGGUUCGCGGAAAUUUUACGUCGUCCGCUUCAAAUUAAAAAAAUGAUUGUUUUUACCCUAAAUAUUUCAUUUAGAACACUUAUAAGAGUUGCAGUAUAUAAAGAAUAACCAUACAUUGUCUCGAAAUAUCAAUCGGUUAUUUGUACUCGGCUCGAAACAGGUAGAAAUGCUCGGCACAGC
Molecule: long non-coding RNA, 342 nt
Filed under: Mytilus galloprovincialis (Mediterranean mussel)
Lineage: Eukaryota; Metazoa; Mollusca; Bivalvia; Mytilida; Mytilidae
Source: RNAcentral